This 854-nucleotide small RNA is filed under the name Pan troglodytes (chimpanzee). Its description in RNAcentral is "retained intron". The record is from RNAcentral. Lineage: Eukaryota; Metazoa; Chordata; Mammalia; Primates; Hominidae.
AAGCACUUUUCCAUAUUUGCUUCAAAUGGCCUUUAGCCCCAAAAAAUUAUGUCAAAGAGGAAUGUUUUGAGGUGACACAUUCUGUUUCCUUCAGUACUCUCAUUGGUGAGUCUCCGGAUUCACCUUCAUAUAAACUUCCCUUGAACACUAUAGACAUUUUAUAAUUCUUUAUUUCUGCAUUUGCUUUGAGAUAAGGUCUUUAGUUAUUUGUAUGAUUUUUUUCUGUGGAUAACUUGGGUAAGAUUUUUAAGCUGUUAUUUUGGCUUAAGUAAAUAAAAAGUCAAAAUAAAAGUCAACAACCCGCUGCCUUUUAUGUCAACAUUAAGAACUAGAGUUCUUACAUUACUUUUGCAGUGCAAUGUAAUGCAUUGUAUCCUUUUCUAACAAGCCUACAGAAAAAGAUUAUCUGAUAAAAAAUAUGUAUUCAAUCACCUUUCUUUUCUUUAUCAGGUAUGGUAUAGAGCAGUUUAAAAAAUUAAAAUUUAUGUAAUCAUUGUAUAAAUAUUGUACAAAUUAUUGUAUAAAUUUUCAGAUACACCAAAGUGGAGACUCUUGUUAAAAUAUCUGUGUCUCCCACUGACUGCAGUAAUAGAGAAUUUCUUCUUGGGUUUUAGAUUUCCUCCUUCUUCACCCCUGAAACCAUAUCCAAAGAAGCCCCCAUACCAAAAGGAUGUUAUUAAAUUUCCAGAAUGGAAUGAUCCCCCACCAGGCACUUCACAAGAGAACAUCCCAGUGAGGCCAGUUGUGAUGAAUUCUGAGAUGUGGUACAAGCGUCACAGUAUUGCAAUUGGAGAGGUGCCAGCUUGCCGUCUUGUCCACCGCAGACAGCUGACAGAGGCUAAUGUAGAAGAGAU